UACGGGGGGAGCAAGCGUUGUUCGGAUUUACUGGGCGUAAAGGGCGCGUAGGCGGCCACCGCAAGUCGACUGUGAAAUCUCCGGGCUUAACCCGGAGAGGUCAGCCGAUACUGCGGGGCUAGAGUGCAGAAGGGGCAACUGGAAUUCUUGGUGUAGCAGUGAAAUGCGUAGAUAUCAGGAGGAACACCAGUGGCGAAGGCGGGUCCCUGGACAACACCUGACACUGAGGCACGAAAGCUAGGGGAGCAAACAGG
Molecule: ribosomal RNA, 254 nt
Filed under: uncultured bacterium
Lineage: Bacteria
Description: partial 16S ribosomal RNA
Rfam family: Bacterial small subunit ribosomal RNA
Source: RNAcentral